This 440-nucleotide ribosomal RNA is filed under the name uncultured bacterium. Its description in RNAcentral is "partial 16S ribosomal RNA". It matches the Rfam family "Bacterial small subunit ribosomal RNA", at positions 338 to 795 of the family's 1533-position model. The record is from RNAcentral.
CCUACGGGCGGCAGCAGUGGGGAAUAUUGCACAAUGGGGGAAACCCUGAUGCAGCGACGCCGCGUGAGUGAAGAAGUAAUUCGUUAUGUAAAGCUCUAUCAGCAGGGAAGAAAAUGACGGUACCUGAGUAAGAAGCCCCGGCUAACUACGUGCCAGCAGCCGCGGUAAUACGUAGGGGGCAAGCGUUAUCCGGAUUUACUGGGUGGAAAGGGAGCGUAGACGGCAGUGCAAGUCUGGAGGGAAAGGCGGGGGCUCAACCCCCGGACUGCUCUGGAAACUGUACGGCUGGAGUGCAGGAGAGGUAAGUGGAAUUCCUAGUGUAGCGGUGAAAUGCGUAGAUAUUAGGAGGAACACCAGUGGCGAAGGCGGCUUACUGGACUGUAACUGACGUUGAGGCUCGAAAGCGUGGGGAGCAAACAGGAUUAGAUACCCCUGUAGUC